AUAAUAGUUACUGCCAUAUUCGGGAUGCAGUCCUGAGCCGCCAUUGUCUUUUCCACCAUGUUCAAGCGCUGCUUUGUAAAAUGUUUCCACCGCGUCCCGCGAAGCUGCGGCAAACGCGACGUGAAAUCCUUCACCAGGCACAACCACUCCGCGUGACCUUAGCUUGAUGGCGAACUUGUCAUCACCACCCGGCAGACCGUAACCAACUGCCGUUUCGUCUGCCCACACACGUUCAUAACCCAGCACGGAAAGCGUGGCGUCGUAGAAAGCGGCGGAGCGAUCAAGAUCAACAACCGCGAAAGAAAGGUGAUGCAGCAUGUGUGGGAAGAGGAUUACACCAUGCACGGAC
This 349-nucleotide unclassified non-coding RNA is filed under the name uncultured fungus. Its description in RNAcentral is "sequence contains ITS1". The record is from RNAcentral. Lineage: Eukaryota; Fungi.